UCUCUCCAACCCAGCCUCAACCCAGCCUCCAGUAUGAUCUCGUUAAAACAGAGCUGGCCACCCACCUCUCCUGCUUGAAAUUCUUCCCAGGGGCCUUGCUGCUUCCAGGAUGAAAUUUAAACUCCCUGUCUGGCUCACUGGGACCUUUUGGACCCAGACUCUGCUUGCCCCACUCCCAGCCUCCUCUCCCAUCGUUCUCCACUCCUCCACCUUCACAUGCUGGAGUCAUUUCCAAGGACAUCAUUAUCUUCAUCAUUUUCAUAAUCAACCAUUUUGGUAAUAAAACCCACAAUUUCCUCUUACUGAAUGCAAAUAGCUGUGCAAGGCAAAGCGUGAACAUUCGGUAUCUUUGCAAAUGCCAUUCCCAACCAGAAGUCCUGACUCUCCCCUGCUGUGACCCAACGUGCCGGGCUUCUCGGUUCCUUAAACCCCGGUCUCGUUUUCCACCUCGAGCUCCUUGGGGUGUGGUGCCGUCUUGCUUGUGGAGCCUCCCUGGCACCUAAGUGUUUGACAUGCUGCAAAUUAAAUGCUCAAUAAAACGUUGGAGAAAAGAAUGAAUCAAAGCCACUAUUCCCUUCCUCUUCCUCGGAGCCUGCUCGCAAUGACUCCUCCUCCUUUGUGGGGGGGGCUGGUUUCUGAGAACAGCAUGGGCAGGAGUCCUUGGGCCGUUCCACUGGGGAGGUAGGAGGCGGUGUUCUGAGUGCAUCAGGCAUCUCUCAUCUCCACUCCUUUCAUCUCUGCUACUACCCUACAGAGUAGAUUCUGUUAUUACACCAGUUUUACAGAUCAAGAAACCAAGGCACUAAGAGAUUAAGACCUGCCCCACAUGUCACAGCUGGUGUGAGUUGUGAUGAACUGGGGUUUGAAGGAGAGCAAACUGCCUCCCGGGGGCCUGUGGGCCCGGCCACCCCUCCAGUGCCUCCUCCGUGGACCGAGCACUCGCCACGCGAGAAGCCCCAUGCAGGUGCCUGCAGUCCUUCCCGGCUCCUCCCGAGACGCGCUGGCAGCUGCCCUGUGUUAGAGAUGGGCACAGCCUCGCUCAGGCUAAGAUGUCACACUCGCAAGAAGGAGCCUCUUGACUGACGUGCAGAAGUCGCCUUUAACCUUCUUUCCAGGCUCCACCGAGGGAAUGGUCUGUGGGGAAUGGUCCUGAGAAGAGCGCAGCUUCUAGCCGCAGGGGGCUCGGACCCGCUGCCCCAGCGCAGACCCGGGGAGCCCGGAUGGCUCCAGCGGCAGUUUGGACCUCUCAAGAUUAAGCUGGUGGCCUGGAGGCCAGUGUCUGAGGACCCGGGAGAGGCAUGCUGUUGCUGUGGCUGCGUUACAGAGGAGAACACAGGGCCACAGAGACCAAGCAGCUCAUCAAGGGUCACGAAACCAGCAACGCCAAGCGAGGCCUUGAACCGUGU
This 1406-nucleotide long non-coding RNA is filed under the name Equus asinus (donkey). Its description in RNAcentral is "lncRNA (ENSEASG00005037838.1)". The record is from RNAcentral. Lineage: Eukaryota; Metazoa; Chordata; Mammalia; Perissodactyla; Equidae.